This 468-nucleotide ribosomal RNA is filed under the name uncultured bacterium. RNAcentral's name for it is "partial 16S ribosomal RNA". It matches the Rfam family "Bacterial small subunit ribosomal RNA", at positions 28 to 507 of the family's 1533-position model. The record is from RNAcentral.
GACGAACGCUGGCGGCGUGCUUAACACAUGCAAGUCGAACGGAAAGGGCCGGCAUUUGUGGGGUGCUCGAGUGGCGAAAGGGUGAGUAACACGUGAGUAACCUGCCCUUGACAUUGGGAUAACUUCAGGAAAAUGGGGCGAAUACCGGAUAGGAGAUCCUGCAGCAUGGUGGGGGAGGGAAAGUUUCGGCGGUUGGGGAUGGACUCGCGGCUUAUCAGCUUGUUGGUGGGGUAGUGGCGUAACCAGGCACUGACGGGUAGCCGGCCUGAGACGGUGACCGGCCCCAUUGGGCCUGAGAUACGGCCCAGACUCCUACGGGAGGCAGAAGUGGGGGUUUUUGCACGAUGGGCCGCAGCCUGAUGCAGCAUCGCCGCGUGCGGGAUGUCGGCCUUCGGGUUGUAACCCGCUUUCGCCUGUGACGAAGCGUGAGUGACGGUAAUGGGUAAAGAAGCACCGGCUAACUACGUG